UCAUCUUUGUCUGCAUUGUGCUGAUAAAGAGUAAAAAGUAUUUAAAUCAGUCAGAAUUCUACAUUAAGCGGAUAUUUGACCGCUUAUUGGAAUAUUUGAACUACUCUAUUAGUCACAUGUUCAUACUCGAUGAAACAUAGUAAAUCGAUAUAAACGCCUGCGUGUAUGUACAUAAUUUAGCAUUAAUGCGGUAGUCGCUUAGUUCUAACUCAUGUUGUAAGCGUUAUUUUGCUAGAUUGUUUCAGUUGUUAACGUAUAACUUAGAUGGGCAUUUCAUUCGGGCGACUGUUGAGCGUGCUGUAGGUGAUGUUUCUGUACAAGUACAGACGAGAACACUGCCAAUUAAUGAAAAAACAAAUUAACAAACAAUGAUUUCAAUGUAAAUACAAUGAUAUGCUUGAUGUAAAUCAACAAGCAACCAGGCGGUGUGUAAUACAGUAUAGAGCACAUGCGCACUAAGCCCAUGUCACGUGACGAUGGUCAAGAGGAUGCACGCGAUGAUAAAUACUGUGACUGUUUUACAAGUGUUUAAUUAACCGCAUCACAUGCUUGGGUUUAAGUCUACUUUUUCACAUGAUAGCCAUUUAAUUCAGACGACUAUUGCUGAGCAUGCUGUAGUAGGUGAUACCACUGUACAGGUUUUUACAAGAGCUCAUUAAACAGCAUCAAAUGCUUGGAUUUUAGUCUACUUUUUCACGUGGUUUUACAAGAGCAAUAAACAGCAUCCCAUGCUUGGGUUUUAGUCUACUUUUUUCAUGUGGUUAUUUGAAUGUGGCCUUGUAAAGAAUGUGGAGCAUUAGAGUCUAGCAGGUACAAAUUGUUAAGACAUUAUAAGUUAUGUCAUGGUCAUUAUGGUAAAAAUCAACGAUAUCCAUGUUCUUAUGCAAGUUGCCCAUGUACUUUCCGAACAUGGAGUAGCCUUAAAAGUCAUGUAUACCGUGCCCACACAUUAUCAGCACAGACAUCAUCAGGAUUAGCGACAUUCAGCUGUCAGUUGUGCGAUUGUGCUGAGCUUUCUUCAGAGAAAGAUUAUUUUGUACAUAUUGGGACACAUCUUAGAAAUGGUCAGACUUGUAGUUGCAUGUUUCUGGGCUGUAGCUUUCAGACCAACAUUUAUGGUACUUUCUAUUCUCACAAGAAUAGAAAACACAAACAACAUGAGUUAAAAGACUUCAAACCAGGUGUUGUGACAAUUCAUAAUAGACCUGGGACAUCUUUGGAGAGUUCUGAAGAAAACAGGCCAUUCUGCUCUACUGAUGAAACCGAAGCUGAUUUAGACAUUCAAUCAGAUGACGACAGUGAAAUAGUUUCUGUUGAGAGCCUGCCAAAAGUAAUUAAGCAAAAAGUAGGGUGUCUGCUACUGAAGUUAGAAAACAUUCUACAUGUACCUGCUGCAGCAGUAGAUGAAUUGGUGGAUGAACUACACUUUUUGUUGAAAUCUGCUUCUGUACCACUUGUACAAGCUACCAUCUUAGAUGUUUUUAGAAAUCAUGGACUGCCGGUUGACGAGGCUGUGAUAAGAGACCUUGCUUGUGCGGUGUGUGUAUCCAACCCUGUAGGAGAGUGUUUUGGAAAGGAUGGGCUGCUUGCAACAGCCUUCAGAAGAAAAAAGUUCUACAAAGAAAAUUUCUGUGUUAUUGAGCCAGUUGAAUAUAUUUUAGAUGCCAAAGAGAACAGAACAUUUCAAUAUAUUCCAGUGUUACAGUCUUUGCAGCAGUUACUGAGCAAGGAGCACAUUUUCGAUCAGGUGAUUGAGAAUAAAAUUGCACAAGAGAAGACCUCUGUAGCAAGUGGUACUUCUGAUUGUCAUUACUUUAAGUCUUUUCAAGAUGGACUGUUCUACAGUCAGGGAGAUUUUUGGUCUCAAGAGGAGUUAAGAAUCUCUUUAACUCUAUAUUUAGAUGACUUCGAAAUUUGUAACCCGCUUGGAACCUCCCGCAAAAAACAUAAACUCUGUGGAGUUUACUGGAUACUAAGUAGUCUCCCCCCUGGCUCUAAUUCAGCACUUAAUUCAAUAUACUUGGCAGUACUUUGCAAGACAGACGAUAUUAAGACAUUUGGAUUUGAAAAAGUGCUUGAACCCUUUCUGCAUGAUCUGCAUAUUUUUGAGGAACAAGGUGUGUACAUUUCUCAUAUUGGUGAGUUUGUAAAGGGCACGGUUCAGUGUGUUGUCGCUGAUAAUCUAGCUGCACAUGGAUUAGGUGGGUUUGUUGAAAGUUUUUCAGCAGGCUUCAUAUGCAGAUUUUGUACAGCGCAGAAACAUGAGAUCCAAACCCAUAGUGUUUCAUCUGGUGCUUUCAGGCUUCGUACAAAGGAAUGUCAUGAAGAACAUGUGAAGUGUGCAGGUGAAACCUCUACUCAUUGUUUUGGGGUGAAGGGGCCUUGUGUCCUAACCCAGCACCUUUCACAUUUCCAAGUCACAAAAGGAUAUCCUCCUGAUAUCGUGCAUGAUAUCUUUGAAGGUGUUGUGCCAGUAGAGCUGGCUUGUUGCCUCUCUGUAUUAAUUUCAAAUAAAUAUUUUUCACUGGAUUUUCUGAACCAGUUGAUUCUGAACUUUCCGUACAAGUGGGGUGACAAAACGAAUAAGCCUCAUGUCAUACCACGCACAUUCUCGACCAGGAAAACCAUAGGCGGCAAUGCCCAUGAAAAUUGGAAUUUGCUGAGGUUAUUGCCAUUUAUGAUUGGCUCCCUAGUGCCAGAGGAUGAACCUGCUUGGUUGUUGAUCUUGGACUUAAAAGACAUUGUUGAGCUUGUGGUAGCUCCAGUGCAUUCUGAUGAGACUGUAGCAUUCCUUGAGUUUAAGAUUUGUGAGCACAGACAUCGCUACCAAGACCUUUUUCCAAGUGCUCAUUUGCUACCAAAGCACCACUUUUUGGAGCACUACCCGCAUAUGAUACAAUGCUUUGGGCCACUUGUAUGUAUGUGGACAAUGAGAUUCGAAUCAAAGCAUAGCUUCUUUAAACAGAUUGCUCGUCACACCAACUGUUUUAAAAACAUAGCUCUCACACUAUCGGCAAAGCACCAGCUAAUGAUUGCUUUUCAUUUGCAUUCCUCUUGCCUUAAGAAGCCAUUAUUUGAAGUAACAAAUGUUUCAUUGAUUCCAGUUGGUGUGUUGAACAAGGAAAUAGCUUGCACCAUCAAACAGAGAUACCCAGAUGUAAUGGAAGUUAGUCUAGCCAAGUCUGUUAAUGCAAAUGGAAUAAGUUACAAAACAGGAAUGAUUCUUGCUCAUGGAUCACUCGCAGGCCUCCCUGAAUUUGUGGAAAUAAUGCAAAUUUGCAUUUUUCGAGACAAGUUGAGUUUCAUUUGCAAGAAGUUGUGUUGCUGGUACAGAGAGCAUUUUAGAGCAUUUGAAGUAAAUGCAUCACAUCUGAGAGAGUUGGUCAUUGUCGAGCAUGCUGAACUGUUAGAUGACUAUCCACUGGUGUGCUACUUGAUUGGGGCUGUCCAGAUGCUGACUUUGAAGAGAUACAUUCACAUAGCAGCAUAAUAUAUGUGAAGUUACUUGUUCCUGCUUGCAGAGGCUUGAGUAGGAUGUGACUUUCAAAGGCUGUACACUACAAGAUAAUUUUGAGAACUGAUAAAUAGAGCAAUGGCUCGACCAGUGAAACUUAGAGUAAUCUUAGCUGAUGAUGAUGCCAGGAAGUUGAUCCUGCCUGAAGGGCUUCCUAGUUCUACUGAGGACCUUGCACAAAAAAUCACUGAAAUGUUCCAGCUUGAUGGGGAUAUCCGCUUGCAAUAUCAAGACGACGAUUUUGGUGGCGAGUUUGUGAAUUUAACAACAAUAACUGAUGUUCAAGAUAAAGGAACCUUAAAGGUCAUCUUCAAGACUACAGGACAAAACCAGACUGCAGCAUCAACUCCUGCUUGCUUAAUGCUGUGCCAGGCAGAUGACUCUGCAUCUGUCUCUUCGUUUGAAACUGACGACACGGUUCUUCUUUCUUCUCCUGAUGGGUCAGUGCAAUCCACAUCAAGAUCUGCUCCAUGGCCACUUGUAUUCCCAAUUCCACGCUUCUCCUAUGACUCUGAAAUAAUUCUACAGCAAGCUAAUGCUGAAUUCCAUGAAAACAGAACUCGUCUCAGUCCGUCUCCAAAGCUGAAGUCACACAUUCUAGAAGUCCUAGCUGAGGAAAUCAUAAAAUACAAAGCAUAUCCAACUGAUCUAGACCUUAACACAGUGGCAGAAGCAUUAAUUAAUAAACACCCUUGCUUGCGAGAACAAGGCUCCUACAAUGGUUGCUAUGGGUGGAAAAUAAGUCUCAAAUAUAAGAUGGCAAACUUUCGUACUAAGCUCAGAAGUGUUGGGUGUUCAGAAGUAAGCAUAAACUCAAUGAAGAACAAACGCCAAGAUCAGUACCAUGCUGCUUCAAACAUCAAAAAGCCUAGAAGAGCCGAAGUAAAUUACUGCCCUCAACAUCCAAAGGGAGAAACGUCUGAAAGUUUAGAGAGGGAACGAGUCGAUCUUUUGGCUGCGAUUAAGAAGAGAAACAAUGACAAAGUAGUCAAAGAGAAGAUGGAGCGAACCUUUUCUUACAGAAGACAGGAAGUGGUCCAGGAGAAGCCGAUGAUAGCGGAGUUCAAAAGUCGAUGGCCAGCUCUUUUUAAUGUUGAUGAAAUAAAUACUGAGUUCAUGCGCAUCACCACUGUCCCAUUGGAGUUUAAGUUUCUUGCUAUGCUUGACCAGUAUUCGGACAGCUUGAUGAAGUUGUUUCAGAGUAAGGGUGGAGUCACUGGCAGAACAAUAAAAAACAUCAUGCAACCCAUUUCACAGAAUAACAGCAUAGACAUGCGAAGAGAAUGCAUUCUCAAAGCACUGUGUGUAUACUUAAAUGAGGACCAUGCACAGCUGUUCAAGGAGUACAAUGAUUGUGACUGGGUGAAUGCCAAAGAAGCCAUAGCGCAGAUGGUAAUGGGGAUCUACAUCGUCCGAUCCGAAGGACACCAACCAGGGGAUAAGCCUGUGGACGUUGGUAUCGUGAUUGAAGGGACUGAGGUUCUCUGCUCUUUGAAGAAUGUAGCUGUAUCAGUGGCCAUGCUGUUUGGACUUACUUAUGCCUUGAACCUCAGCUACCCACGAGAACUCAAAGCUACAUUUGAGGUCAUCCAGAAAGUGUUCUUUAACUUGGAUGGACAAAAACUUUCACCGAAGGUACAAGCCCUCAAGAACAAGAUGCUGGAGUAAGUUACCUUACGUGUGUAGUCUCAAAAGACUAAAUCUUGAUGCAAGAAGGUAGUAGCUGUGGGCUGCCCAUUGCUGUUGCAGUGUGCCCACUGUCUGUUUAGUGUUUGACACGUUUUUGUCAAAACUCUUCAUAUGCAGGGAACUUUAAAACUGCUGUUGGAUCUAAUUGAUCCUGGAAAUCUUUUAAUCUUUGUAUUUUUUUUUUAUUUAUUUUUUUUUCUUGUUUAAGAUAUACUAGCUUUGAAAUUGUAGCUCAACACUAAGCACAUGUU
Molecule: RNA transcript, 5454 nt
Organism: Cyprinus carpio (common carp)
Lineage: Eukaryota; Metazoa; Chordata; Actinopteri; Cypriniformes; Cyprinidae
Exons: 11
Source: RefSeq, a predicted model, not a curated record